UACGAGGGGUGCAAGCGUUGUUCGGAAUUACUGGGCGUAAAGGGCUUGUAGGUGGCCAACUAAGUCAGACGUGAAAUCCCCCGGCUUAACCGGGGAACUGCGUCUGAUACUGGAUGGCUAGAGAUUGGGAGAGGGACGCGGAAUUCCAGGUGUAGCGGUGAAAUGCGUAGAUAUCUGGAGGAACACCGGUGGCGAAGGCGGCGUCCUGGACCAACACUGACACUGAAAAGCGAAAGCCAGGGGAGCAAACGGG
RNAcentral lists this ribosomal RNA (253 nucleotides) under uncultured bacterium. RNAcentral's name for it is "partial 16S ribosomal RNA". It matches the Rfam family "Bacterial small subunit ribosomal RNA", at positions 524 to 776 of the family's 1533-position model. The record is from RNAcentral.